RNAcentral lists this microRNA precursor (85 nucleotides) under Papio anubis (olive baboon). RNAcentral's name for it is "mir-571 microRNA precursor family". It matches the Rfam family "mir-571 microRNA precursor family". RNAcentral also lists the same sequence under 1 other name. Lineage: Eukaryota; Metazoa; Chordata; Mammalia; Primates; Cercopithecidae. The record is from Rfam by way of RNAcentral.
AGUAAGGCCAACCUCCAUGCACCAUUUUCUUGUCUGUAGCCAUGUCUGUGGGCUCUGGAGUUGGCCACCUGGGAGAGGGCCUGCU